This 440-nucleotide ribosomal RNA is filed under the name uncultured bacterium. RNAcentral's name for it is "partial 16S ribosomal RNA". It matches the Rfam family "Bacterial small subunit ribosomal RNA", at positions 338 to 795 of the family's 1533-position model. The record is from RNAcentral.
CCUACGGGAGGCAGCAGUGGGGAAUAUUGCUCAAUGGGGGAAACCCUGAUGCAGCGACGCCGCGUGGAGGAUGGAGGUUUUCGGAUUGUAAAGCCCUUUUGUUAGGGAAGAAAAUGACGGUAUCUGACCAAUAAGCACCGGCUAACUCCGUGCCAGCAGCCGCGGUAAUACGGAGGGUGCAAGCGUUAUCCGGAUUUACUGGGCGUAAAGAGCGCGUAGGCGGGAUAGCAAGUCAGAUGUGAAAGCCUAUGGCUUAACCAUAGAACUGCAUUUGAAACUGGGAUUCUAGAGUAUGGGAGAGGUAGGUGGAAGUCUUGGUGUAGGGGUAAAAUCGGUAGAGAUCAAGAGGAAGACGCAUGGCGAAGGCGACCUGCUAGAACGUAACUGACGCUGAUGCGCGAAAGCGUGGGGAUCAAACAGGAUUAGAUACCCUGGUAGUC